Molecule: ribosomal RNA, 497 nt
Filed under: uncultured bacterium
Lineage: Bacteria
Description: partial 16S ribosomal RNA
Rfam family: Bacterial small subunit ribosomal RNA
Source: RNAcentral
GAUGAACGCUGGCGGCGUGCCUAAUACAUGCAAGUCGAGCGAACGGACGAGAAGCUUGCUUUUCUGAUGUUAGCGGCGGACGGGUGAGUAACACGUGGAUAACCUACCUAUAAGACUGGGAUAACUUCGGGAAACCGGAGCUAAUACCGGAUAAUAUUUUGAACCGCAUGGUUCAAAAGUGAAAGACGGUCUUGCUGUCACUUAUAGAUGGAUCCGCGCUGCAUUAGCUAGUUGGUAAGGUAACGGCUUACCAAGGCAACGAUGCAUAGCCGACCGGAGAGGGGGAUCGGCCACACGGGAACUGGGACCGGGUCCAGCCUCCUACGGGAGGAAGCAGUAGGGAAUCUUCCGCAAUGGGCGAAAGCCUGACGGAGCAACGCCGCGUGAGUGAUGAAGGUCUUCGGAUCGUAAAACUCUGUUAUUAGGGAAGAACAUAUGUGUAAGUAACUGUGCACAUCUUGACGGUACCUAAUCAGAAAGCCACGGCUAACUACGUG